UACGAAGGGGGCUAGCGUUGUUCGGAAUCACUGGGCGUAAAGCGCACGUAGGCGGAUUCUUAAGUCAGGGGUGAAAUCCCGAGGCUCAACCUCGGAACUGCCUUUGAUACUGGGGAUCUCGAGUUCGGGAGAGGUGAGUGGAACUGCGAGUGUAGAGGUGAAAUUCGUAGAUAUUCGCAAGAACACCAGUGGCGAAGGCGGCUCACUGGCCCGAUACUGACGCUGAGGUGCGAAAGCGUGGGGAGCAAAC
Molecule: ribosomal RNA, 250 nt
Filed under: uncultured bacterium
Lineage: Bacteria
Description: partial 16S ribosomal RNA
Rfam family: Bacterial small subunit ribosomal RNA
Source: RNAcentral